Molecule: long non-coding RNA, 266 nt
Organism: Sapajus apella (tufted capuchin)
Lineage: Eukaryota; Metazoa; Chordata; Mammalia; Primates; Cebidae
Exons: 3
Source: RefSeq, a predicted model, not a curated record
AGUGGCUCAUGUCUAUGAAUGACUCAACUUAUGUUUAUGAAUGCUGUGCAGAGGAAAUUAAAAUUGCCAUACAGUUUUCAACAGUGGUUGUACCAUUCUGCAUUCCCACCAAUAGUGUACAAGGGUCUCAAUUAUUCCAUGUCAUUGCCAGCUAUGUAAAGAACUACAGCCUCAAGAACUUGAAGUGGACCCAGCAUAGUAGCUCACACCUGUAAUCCCAGCACUCUAGGAGGCUGAGGUGGGAGGAUCACUUGAACCCAGUUCAA